ACCUGGGUGGCUCAGUGGAUUAAGCAUCUGACUUCAGCUUAGGUCAUGAUCUCAUGAUCAUGGGUUUGAACCCCAUCUUUGGCU
This 84-nucleotide transfer RNA is filed under the name Felis catus (domestic cat). It matches the Rfam family "tRNA". From Rfam's summary of the family: Transfer RNA (tRNA) molecules are approximately 80 nucleotides in length. Their secondary structure includes four short double-helical elements and three loops (D, anti-codon, and T loops). Further hydrogen bonds mediate the characteristic L-shaped molecular structure. tRNAs have two regions of fundamental functional importance: the anti-codon, which is responsible for specific mRNA codon recognition, and the 3' end, to which the tRNAs corresponding amino acid is attached (by aminoacyl-tRNA synthetases). tRNAs cope with the degeneracy of the genetic code in two manners: having more than one tRNA (with a specific anti-codon) for a particular amino acid; and 'wobble' base-pairing, i.e. permitting non-standard base-pairing at the 3rd anti-codon position. Lineage: Eukaryota; Metazoa; Chordata; Mammalia; Carnivora; Felidae. The record is from Rfam by way of RNAcentral.